RNAcentral lists this ribosomal RNA (468 nucleotides) under uncultured bacterium. Its description in RNAcentral is "partial 16S ribosomal RNA". It matches the Rfam family "Bacterial small subunit ribosomal RNA", at positions 28 to 507 of the family's 1533-position model. The record is from RNAcentral.
GACGAACGCUGGCGGCGUGCUUAACACAUGCAAGUCGAACGGAAAGGCCCUGCUUUUGUGGGGUGCUCGAGUGGCGAACGGGUGAGUAACACGUGAGUAACCUGCCCUUGACUUUGGGAUAACUUCAGGAAACUGGGGCUAAUACCGGAUAGGAGCUCCUGCUGCAUGGUGGGGGUUGGAAAGUUUCGGCGGUUGGGGAUGGACUCGCGGCUUAUCAGCUUGUUGGUGGGGUAGUGGCUUACCAAGGCUUUGACGGGUAGCCGGCCUGAGAGGGUGACCGGCCACAUUGGGACUGAGAUCCGGCCCAGACUCCUACGGGAGGCAGCAGUGGGGAAUAUUGCACGAUGGGCGGAAGCGUGAUGCAGCAACGCCGCGUGCGGGAUGACGGCCUUCGGGUUGUAAACCGCUUUCGCCUGUGACGAAGCGUGAGUGACGGUAAUGGGUAAAGAAGCACCGGCUAACUACGUG